Molecule: unclassified non-coding RNA, 518 nt
Filed under: Hevea brasiliensis (rubber tree)
Lineage: Eukaryota; Viridiplantae; Streptophyta; Magnoliopsida; Malpighiales; Euphorbiaceae
Source: RNAcentral
AAAAAUCCAUGAAACAUCCCAUCAGAUAAAGGCUACUAGCUAGAACCAAAAAUAACUAAAACUAGAAACCAAUAAUUCCAUAAAAAAAAAGUCAUGUAAAAAAAAAUCAUAUGAGAAAUAACAACUUUCUAGAUGAUCAUUGAUGGAAACUACUCACUGGAUUUUGAUGACUGACACAACAAUUAUGAGUCAAAGAUAAUAAUAAGAUAUAUUUUUUUUCCACAAAAGGUUUAUUCGGCUCAAGGAACAGGGCCCAAGCACAUGAGGAAUGGACCAAAGGACACUGCUUGGUGGUGCCAAAGUUUACAUAUUCAGAUACAAGCUGUUUUGGGAAAUCAGAAAAUCAAAUUCAGAAGAUUGAAGAGUUGAUACAAUUAUACAGUAAAAACCCAUGAGGAGUUCUCAACCACAGGCAAAACCUAAACAGCUGACCCUCAUCUACGUUAGAUGUUAGUGAAUGGCCAUUAUGCCAAUAAUGGGAAGUAAUUCUAAGCAGAGGGCCAUUCUAGAUGUUCAGU